RNAcentral lists this ribosomal RNA (492 nucleotides) under uncultured bacterium. RNAcentral's name for it is "partial 16S ribosomal RNA". It matches the Rfam family "Bacterial small subunit ribosomal RNA", at positions 29 to 507 of the family's 1533-position model. The record is from RNAcentral.
AGUGAACGCUGGCGGUAGGCCUAACACAUGCAAGUCGAACGGCAGCACAGUAAGAGCUUGCUCUUACGGGUGGCGAGUGGCGGACGGGUGAGGAAUACAUCGGAAUCUACUUUUUCGUGGGGGAUAACGUAGGGAAACUUACGCUAAUACCGCAUACGGCCUACGGGUGAAAGCAGGGGAUCUUCGGACCUUGCGCGAUUGAAUGAGCCGAUGUCGGAUUAGCUAGUUGGCGGGGUAAAGGCCCACCAAGGCGACGAUCCGUAGCUGGUCUGAGAGGAUGAUCAGCCACACUGGAACUGAGACACGGUCCAGACUCCUACGGGAGGCAGCAGUGGGGAAUAUUGGACAAUGGGCGCAAGCAUGAUCCAGCCAUACCGCGUGGGUGAAGAAGGCCUUCGGGUUGUAAAGCCCUUUUGUUGGGAAAGAAAAGCAGCAGGUUAAUACCCCGCUGUUCUGACGGUACCCAAAGAAUAAGCACCGGCUAACUUCGUG